Telopea speciosissima is the source of this 1629-nucleotide long non-coding RNA. RefSeq lists it as uncharacterized. The record is from RefSeq and is a predicted model, not a curated record. Lineage: Eukaryota; Viridiplantae; Streptophyta; Magnoliopsida; Proteales; Proteaceae. The transcript is spliced from 4 exons.
GCUGGGCGCGUUAGCACGCCCAUCCAAGAAUCAAGGGAUGAGCCCAAUGGAGAGUAAGCUGGUCUAAGACCACCCCUGAUUUACAACCAGCCUGCGGUCGAGCUGAUCUACGAGCACUCUCUCCCGGUGGUCGAGCUGAUCUACGAGCACUCUCUCCCGGUGGUCGAGCUGAUCGUAGAGCACCGUUGCCUUGACUCUGUUAGGGGCGCAUCCGGCUUCUUGCUUGCUGGGCAUGCUGAAAAAUGGAUGCGCGCUAGCGCGCGCCCUGUAGUUUUCUUCGCUCCGGAGUUUGCUCUUGAGCGCACUCCGGCUUGAAAGCCUUCGUUUGCUCCGUUUGCUGGGUCUCGGACCGGAGUUUGCAGGCUGUGUUGCCUACGUUUGCUGGCUUAACAGCAGCGAGCUCCGCUUUCAGAAGCGAGCCAGAGUAGCGCGCUAGCGCGCCUUCCCUCCUUCUCUCACUUCGGAAAGAUUUAGCAGUAUUUUCUUAUGAUGACCUGGUCGAGAGAGUACGAUACAUCGGUGUAAAAGAUUGAGUGGGAUCUGUGAGGUUGGUUAUUGUAAGGCCUGGCCUGAAGUGCGCGGCUUACGAAAAGGUAAGCGGUUAGGUUGACUUUGCCCCCAUUUUUUGCUUUUUCUGAAUCUGAAUCUAAUCCCAUUUUUAUUCUCCGCGGGAUCUCUGUUUCCCAGCCACUAAGGUUCCGUUCGGUCCUCUUCCCCAUGGGUAUGGUAUAUGAACGUGAGAGCAGAGCAGGAAGUUAUAGCAUAAGAAAUCCUUCUAUUCCAAUAGGCCGAGUGAACUGCAUGUGUCCUGCCUCCGGGGAAUCACGCCUAUCGAAUGAAUGAUUGAAGAAAGAAAUGCACUUUGUCCAGAGUUCGUUUUUCGACACGCCUUUUAGCUUAGCUCGUAGUGGAGCAAAAAAAAGCCAUUUUGCUUCUUCGGAUUCUUUUUUUAAGGCGCGCGCGAGAAAGAGAAGGCGCUCCUAUUUCAGACUUUAGAUAUGCCUUACCAUUGAACCAUUGAAAGUGCACGCCCACUUCCGUUUCCUUGCAAUGAGCUUCCUCCAGGGGGCAUUCUCCACAAACUGAGUGUUUCCAGAGAUUGAUUUUGUCCCCUGUUCCAGGAACCCAGGUGGUGAUUGAAUUAGAUUCAAUGUUUUAAUCAUUCCCAUCCACCCGGCCGGGAAAGAAAGGUUUCUCCUAUUUUCUGAGCUUUUAUAUUCUCUUUCAUUCUUCGAAAGGUUUUUCUCUACCAUUACCAUAAAGCGAUUUCUGCCCACAGAGUCGAAGAUGUUAGAGUUCUCCAUCAUUGUUUAGCUCUGAGCAUUCGGCUGACACUCCCACCGCGACACCCGGUUGGCACUCACAAAGUGCCAACCGGGUGCAGCUGAACUAGAGGCGUUGUUGAAGGAGUCGUUGAAUAUUGUAUACCCCGACUGUUUCAGAGGAGCGCAAUUUGACUCGAUUCAAUCAUUCCUGCCUUCCUGUUGCAUUUUCAUUCAUUAUGCACCUCUAAUCAGUAUAUAUUUUAUAGAGAGAACUACUUCCUUAGCUGAUCUUCAUCUCUAAUAGAUCUUCCAAUCUAUAUUCUUUUUCGGACUUCUACAGUCGCAUCGGGCGAUUGAUAAAAGU